CUUAAUAGAGAUUAUUAUUAAUUAUUUUUCAUAUUUUGAAAAAAUAUCUGAAAGACUCAGUUCUUCAUUUCCGGGUAGAUAUAGGGAUUUUUGAAUUGGUAAGGCUUUUUAUUUGGGUUUUAGUUUAAGUUUACUUUAGCUGGAAAUUUCUGUUUUGAUUUCUCCUCAUUACGAUCU
This is a long non-coding RNA of Hibiscus syriacus, 177 nucleotides long. RefSeq lists it as uncharacterized. The transcript is spliced from 3 exons. The record is from RefSeq and is a predicted model, not a curated record. Lineage: Eukaryota; Viridiplantae; Streptophyta; Magnoliopsida; Malvales; Malvaceae.